AUGGUGUUAUCUUCUUUAUUGCAGGAAUUCCAAGAUGUUUUCCCCGACGAGCUACCUCCGGGUCUACCUCCACUACGAGGCAUUGAGCACCGAAUUGACCUCAUCCCCGGAGCACCUCUACCUAACAAGGCCCCAUACCGCGUCAACCCCGAAGAAACCAAAGAAAUACAAAGGCAAGUAAAGCAUCUCAUAGAUCAUGGACAUGUGCGUGAAAGUUUGAGUCCUUGUGCCGUACCGGCCAUUCUAGUGCCUAAACGAGAUGGUAGAUUUCGCAUGUGUUCCGAUUGUAGACCUAUCAAUGCUAUCACCGUUCGAUAUAGGUACCCCAUUCCACGCCUUGAUGAUAUGCUUGAUGAACUUAGCGGUGCCACUAUUUUCUCUAAAAUUGAUCUUAAAAGUGGUCACUAUCAAAUCCGCAUACAAGAGGGUGAUGAAUGGAAAACCGCUUUCAAAACAAAGUUUGGUCUAUAUGAGUGGUUAGUCAUGCCUAUGGGUUUAUCGGAAGCACCCGGUACUUUCAUGCGUCUUAUGCAUUAUGUGUUUCGCCCUUACAUUGGUGAAUUUGUUGUUGUCUACUUUGACGAUAUCCUUGUGUUUAGCAAAUCUCUCAAAGAGCAUGUCACCCACCUUCGAGCCGUGCUACAAACUCUUCGAAAAGAACAACUUUAUGCUAAUAUGGAAAAAUGCCUCUUUGGUGUUGAUAAGCUUGUUUUCUUGGGUUUUGUAGUCUCUUCUAAGGUUGUUCAUGUUGAUGAAUCUAAGAUAAAUGCUAUUAAAACUUGGCCCCAACCAACAAAUUUGCAACAAGUGCGUAGUUUUCUUGGUUUGGCCGGUUUCUACCGUAGAUUUGUGAAGGAUUUUAGCACUAUUGCUUCACCUUUGCAUGCUUUGAGUAAGAAAAAUGCACCGUUUGUUUGGGGAACAUCCCAAGAUAUCGCUUUCAAUGAGCUUAAGAAUUUGCUUACUCAUGCUCCCGUGCUUGCAUUACCAAACUUUGAUAAACCUUUUGAAAUUCAUUGCGAUGCUAGUGGUAAUGGCAUAGGAGGUGUGUUAACGCAAGAGAAGCGUCCAAUAGCAUACUUUAGCGAGAAACUCUCCGGCGCGCAACUCAAUUAUCCCAUCUAUGACAAAGAGCUAUAUGCUUUAGUGCGAGUUUUGCGUGAAUGGGAACAUUACCUCCGCCCUCAUGAAUUUAUCAUCCAUACCGAUCAUGAAACGCUUAAAUACCUUAAGGGUCAAACUAAGUUGAACAAGCGUCAUGCUUAG
RNAcentral lists this ribosomal RNA (1266 nucleotides) under Triticum aestivum (bread wheat). RNAcentral describes it as "partial small subunit ribosomal RNA". The record is from RNAcentral. Lineage: Eukaryota; Viridiplantae; Streptophyta; Magnoliopsida; Poales; Poaceae.